RNAcentral lists this unclassified non-coding RNA (550 nucleotides) under Hevea brasiliensis (rubber tree). Lineage: Eukaryota; Viridiplantae; Streptophyta; Magnoliopsida; Malpighiales; Euphorbiaceae. The record is from RNAcentral.
CUACUCUCUCCCUCUACUUCUCUAUUCUUUUAGGGUUUUUUUAUUUCUGCUCAAGAGUUUUCAACAAUGUCCGCCGGAGAGAUCGCCUGCACUUGCGCUACUUUGAUCCUCCACGAUGAUGGAAUCGCCGUCACUGCUGAGAAGAUAGCUACAUUGGUGAAGACGGCCAACGUAGCGGUGGAAGCGUACUGGCCUAGUCUAUUUGCCAAGUUGGCGGAGAAGAGGAACCUUGACGAUCUUAUGAUGAACAUUGGUUCUAGUGGCGCUGCUGCUCCUUCUACCAUUGCUGCUCCUGCUGCCGGUGCUGGUGGUGCCACUGCCACUGCUCCUGCUGUUGAGGAGAAGAAGGAGGAGCCGAAAGAAGAGAGUGAUGAGGAUAUGGGAUUCAGCUUGUUCGAUUAGGUGCUUUCACUUAUCAUAAUUAUUCAAUUUUGCCUUGCAAUUUGAGAACUAAUCCAAUUGGGUUGUAUUUGGGAAAUUACUUUUUUAGAACUAAUUCAAGGAGUUAAAUUUUCGAUUCAAAAAAAGUAAUUUCCCAAAUACAACCCAA